Molecule: ribosomal RNA, 520 nt
Filed under: Meyerozyma sp.
Lineage: Eukaryota; Fungi; Ascomycota; Pichiomycetes; Serinales; Debaryomycetaceae
Description: eukaryotic LSU rRNA
Rfam family: Eukaryotic large subunit ribosomal RNA
Source: RNAcentral
CAUGCUUAGUAGCGGCGAGUGAAGCGGCAAAAGCUCAAAUUUGAAAUCUGGCACCUUCGGUGUCCGAGUUGUAAUUUGAAGAUUGUAACCUUGGGGUUGGCUCUUGUCUAUGUUUCUUGGAACAGGACGUCACAGAGGGUGAGAAUCCCGUGCGAUGAGAUGCCCAAUCCUAUGUAAGGUGCUUUCGAAGAGUCGAGUUGUUUGGGAAUGCAGCUCUAAGUGGGUGGUAAAUUCCAUCUAAAGCUAAAUAUUGGCGAGAGACCGAUAGCGAACAAGUACAGUGAUGGAAAGAUGAAAAGAACUUUGAAAAGAGAGUGAAAAAGUACGUGAAAUUGUUGAAAGGGAAGGGUUUGAGAUCAGACUCGAUAUUUUGUGAGCCUUGCCUUCGUGGCGGGGUGACCCGCAGCUUAUCGGGCCAGCAUCGGUUUGGGCGGUAGGAUAAUGGCGUAGGAAUGUGACUUUGCUUCGGUGAAGUGUUAUAGCCUGCGUUGAUGCUGCCUGCCUAGACCGAGGACUGCGA